GAUGGGGUCCGUCUGAGGGGUCUAGCUAGUGCGUUUAUUUCACGCAUGUGGUCCUAGGUCCUAAACUUAAAACUGAUUUGAGCUUAUUGUGUGCUCCUGGUGCCUUAAUCUGAAACUUAAGAGGUAAACAAACUUAGCCGUUGUGUCUAGCUUAUUUUGGUUUUGCAUGCAAUUGAAAUGUCGACUCAUGAGCGGGGAUUUUCUCAUGGACGAGUACCUAAGGUGAGGCAUGUGCCAUAGUGGCCUGGGCAUGUGUGUGUAUAAAGGGGGAAAAAC
Non-coding RNA from Paramuricea clavata, 276 nucleotides. The record is from the annotation of a GenBank genome assembly. NCBI's taxonomy places the organism in Eukaryota, Metazoa, Cnidaria, Anthozoa, Malacalcyonacea, Plexauridae.